GGGGAAUUUUCCGCAAUGGGCGAAAGCCUGACGGAGCAAGACCGCGUGGGGGAUGAAGGUUUGUGGAUUGUAAACCCCUUUUGAUUGGGAAGAAUACUGACGGUACCAAUCGAAUAAGCCUCGGCUAACUCCGUGCCAGCAGCCGCGGUAAUACGGAGGAUGCAAGCGUUAUCCGGAAUGAUUGGGCGUAAAGCGUCCGCAGGUGGUUUAUCAAGUCUGCUGUCAAAGAGUUUGGCUCAACCAAAUAAAGGCAGUGGAAACUGACAGACUGGAGUGCGGUAAGGGCAGAGGGAAUUCCUGGUGUAGCGGUGAAAUGCGUAGAGAUCAGGAAGAACACCGGUGGCGAAAGCGCUCUGCUGGGCCGUAACUGACACUGAGGGACGAAAGCUAGGGGAGCGAAUGGGAUUAGAUACCCCAGUAGUCA
Molecule: ribosomal RNA, 424 nt
Filed under: uncultured cyanobacterium
Lineage: Bacteria; Bacillati; Cyanobacteriota
Description: bacterial SSU rRNA
Rfam family: Bacterial small subunit ribosomal RNA
Source: RNAcentral